CCGUUACGAAGGCGAACUUUUAAUACGGCCCCAUAUACAAGAGUGGAAGAGAGCAAUGGACAGGAAAUCAAGAGGUCUGCGCCAUUAAAGGAGUGCCGUUACGAAGGCGAACUCCCGCGGCCGGUCAGUCCGUCCCUGAUCUUGAUGUCACAGGUGGCUCGGGAUUUCAGGCCUUUGUCACUGCACCUGUACAGCAAGAGCAAGAGCAAGAGCCUUCAAAGCUGCGUCCCGGGAGGAGGAGGCGCCGUGGCCGUGGCCGCCCCAACACUGCCCUCACGUGUACACAGACCUUCCCGCAGCCACCGACAGGACCUGGCCCCUUCUCUGGUGCCACAGCGACAGACUGACAGCACCCACCGGCACUAACACAGACGAGGCGGCGGCCUGGCACACCCUGGAGGAGGCGACGAAGGCUGUGUGGAGAGGCAAGGAAGGGAAAGGCCAGACUGGUGGUGGUCCUGCGCCUCUUCCCCUUUUGGAGCUGGACAGCCUGCUAGCCGACAAAUUGAGGAGCCUGAACAUUGUGCUAGUCGGCUGCCUUGAGAGGAUGGAGCCGAUCAUCACCAUUGAGCCAUCUGCUGUUCCCCAACUCAAGCAGUGAAGAUGAAAGCUGUGGAGGAACUACAUUUAUUGUCUCUUCUACCACUGCUGAAACGCUCUUGGAGAAUGAAGGGGUUGGUGCUGGCUGUGUAGCCAUCUGUAAUACAGCGUCCAGUGCUGCAUCAUAUGCCUCUGUUCAUCGCCUCUUCAUGGCACGCUGAGACCACUCGUAACCUUGGGCUUGUGAUGAUGGCAGGAAUGGACUAGAAGAUGCUGGACUGGUCAGGAUGGGUGAUGGAGAUGAAGUUGUAAGAGGCGACUCAUUCACUGCAUUACUAAUGUGGUGUUUACUGAUUGCUUCAGCAAGGUCAGUUUCAGUCACCUGUUUACUGUGGCGAGCCAAGUCAUUGCCAAUGUCUGUUCCAACAGCAGUAUGCUCAAAUCCAUCACACAAACCUAUUCCUUCUAUCACAGAGAUGCUUGGCUCUUCAAGUGAGCUCUGUGACAGGGGUAUUGGAAGACUGUCAUCCUGUGAAAGGAAGUUGCCAAAUUAGCAGGGUUGGUUUGAUUUAUAUCAAAUGAUUUAAAUCAAGUGAUUUAAGAGCCAGAUGUCUUAACUGAAAUAAGAAAGAAUUUGAAAAAACAUGGAUCGUUGGAGAAUGUGAGCUACGGACGGUUCCCGCGUGGCUGAUUCCUCUGUGCUUUGAAGGCGCGUGCUGUUGUUGUAAACAAGACAAACAUAUUCGCUGUAACUAUAAUAAACGACUUUCCAAUUAGGGAAAAUAUUUUC
This is a long non-coding RNA of Eriocheir sinensis (Chinese mitten crab), 1330 nucleotides long. RefSeq lists it as uncharacterized. Lineage: Eukaryota; Metazoa; Arthropoda; Malacostraca; Decapoda; Varunidae. The record is from RefSeq and is a predicted model, not a curated record. The transcript has 4 exons.